Long non-coding RNA from Cyanistes caeruleus (blue tit), 935 nucleotides. The record is from Ensembl. Lineage: Eukaryota; Metazoa; Chordata; Aves; Passeriformes; Paridae.
CUGAGUUGGAAGGGACUUUCAAGAUCAUUUAGUCCUGAAACCCCUUCCAUUUCCAGGGACACAUUCCAAUAGACCAGGUUGCUCAAAGUCCUGUCCAUCUCAGCACUAUUUAGAACCAAACUUUUCUUCUGAGUGGGUAGGUGCCUCCUUCAACUACAGCAGUAUCCUGUCAUAGACACCUGUGGAAGUUUUGGGGCUCUCCAAACCAUAGCAAGCACCUCACCAGGGGUGCCCAGGCUGUUCUAAAUCGGUAAAUAGACACCUCUACUUCUGCUGGAGACACAACCAUGGCUCUGAGUUAACUGAGAAAAGGCACAAUGCACACAGUAGGAAAAUAUUCAGCUUAGUGGUUUUGGCUUAAGCAGAGAGCAUUUCUCUCAUGCCAAUAGCCUUUCAGAGCUGACUUCAGCAGGCACCUCCUGGUUGUACCUCAACAUGAGCUUCAGCUCAGGGAAAAACUCUCUAGGGGAAUAAAGAAGGCAUUCAGCCCCACCAGCAGCUGGUAAAGUUCACAUCAUGAACUGCCUCAACCCGCCUGCUCUGGCCUCCCUGGGUUGUAAAUUGGCAAGAGCUGAGACAGUGGUGACGAACGAUGACCACAAUGAACAGGCACUUCUUACUUUCUUAUGUUGCCCAGCUGGAGCUCCAGCCCACAGGCUGAAAAUACCCAUGUGCAAAUCUUGGAAUGGUACUGUACAGCAGAUGAAGGCUUGACAAAGUACCUACUCACCAGCCACAUACCCAUGAGGAAGGGACUUUUAAUAAGUUUCUCAGAAAGAAAUAUACUCCUGCAGAUUCAUUAAACAAAUAUUACUCUCUCCUUUUGAUUUCUUUUUACUCCCUUUGAAAUAUGUGGGAAUUUGCCAAAAGCAGGGAAACUUUAGGUGGGACCAUGCUUUCCUUCCCUGAAUGCCCUCAGGAAAAAUUACUCAGGG